RNAcentral lists this ribosomal RNA (281 nucleotides) under uncultured prokaryote. RNAcentral describes it as "partial 16S ribosomal RNA". It matches the Rfam family "Bacterial small subunit ribosomal RNA", at positions 524 to 803 of the family's 1533-position model. The record is from RNAcentral.
UACGUAGGGGGCUAGCGUUAUCCGGAAUUACUGGGCGUAAAGGGUGCGUAGGUGGUUUCUUAAGUCAGAGGUGAAAGGCUACGGCUCAACCGUAGUAAGCCUUUGAAACUGGGAAACUUGAGUGCAGGAGAGGAGAGUGGAAUUCCUAGUGUAGCGGUGAAAUGCGUAGAUAUUAGGAGGAACACCAGUUGCGAAGGCGGCUCUCUGGACUGUAACUGACACUGAGGCACGAAAGCGUGGGGAGCAAACAGGAUUAGAUACCGCCGUAGUCCCUGAGCGGG